Molecule: non-coding RNA, 317 nt
Filed under: Brassica napus (rape)
Lineage: Eukaryota; Viridiplantae; Streptophyta; Magnoliopsida; Brassicales; Brassicaceae
Description: Eukaryotic small subunit ribosomal RNA
Rfam family: Eukaryotic small subunit ribosomal RNA
Source: Rfam by way of RNAcentral
UGAGUUCACACCUUGGCCGACAGGCCCGGGUAAUCUUUGAAAUUUCAUCGUGAUGGGGAUAGUCAUUGCAAUUGUUGGUCUUCAACGAGGAAAUCCUAGUAAGCUCGAGUCAUCAGCUCGCGUUGACUACGUCCCUGCCCUUUGUACACACCGCCUGUCGCUCCUAUCGAUUGAAUGAUCCGGUGAAGUGUUCGGAUCACGGCGAUGUGGGUGGUUCGCCGUCUGCAACGUCGCGAGAAGUCCACUAAACCUUAUCAUUUAGAGGAAGGAGAAGUCGUAACAAGGUUUCAGUAGGUGAACCUGCAGAAGGAUCAUUG